Erpetoichthys calabaricus (reedfish) is the source of this 1751-nucleotide long non-coding RNA. RefSeq lists it as uncharacterized. The record is from RefSeq and is a predicted model, not a curated record. The transcript has 3 exons. NCBI's taxonomy places the organism in Eukaryota, Metazoa, Chordata, Cladistia, Polypteriformes, Polypteridae.
AUCUCCCGUCUUUCGGCAGUAACAGCAGUAGGUCGUCUUGAUAAAAAAGCAAAUUACAUUCGACACAAAGCUUGAAUCCACUUUCAGUCACGAAUACAACACUAGCUCUAAACACAUCUGAAAUAUAGGCGCCCAUCAAAUGUACACUGAGGUGUUUCCUUGCUGCCCGGAUUUAGGAAUGUCACACAUGCAGCGCUGUCCCCGUUUGCCUUAUAAACGGAAAUCGACCGGCGUAUCGCAACAAGUGCGCGAGAAUGAAGGCGGCUCAGCCCUUCAGCCUCCAACCCGUGGAAUCGCGGCAUAGUUAUGCACGCCACUCACCUGAUGUCAUUUAAUAAAAGACUUCUGUGGAAGAUAGAUGGCACACUUCAACCAUCCUCAAACCCAGAAAAUGCGAAGGAGACCAUACAAUGAGGAGAUUUAUUAGGAAAUCAAUAACACGAAGGUGUUAACAAAGAAUAAUUCAAAGUUUAAAAUAAUAUUAGAUAAAAGUUGUUAUAUGCCACUUCACGUUUUCCAUAGGUGAACUCCAAUCCAGUUCUAGAAACACUCCAAGGAUAAUUAAAGCAAACAGGAUGCACCUAACUGCAAUCUGGAGUGCCAAAGCACUUACAGAGAUUGGAGGUUUUGAUUUUUACUGCAUUUGCAAACCUUUCACGCUUUCACAUUGAGUUACUGAGUGUGGACUGAUGGGCAAAAAUGGAAAAUUUAUCCAUGGAAACACAAUAAAGUGCUCAGAAAGUGAAGGGGUCUGAAUAUUUUCUGAAUGCACUGUAAUACAACCAGCCAGUCUGCUCUUUAGAAGUUACUGAGGAUCCAAGGAGACACAUUGUCAUUUAGCCUCCUCAAAAGAGUGAAAUGACUGUUAUCCUUCUCUGUUUGUUUGGCUGUCUGUGGUCCUCUGUUAAUUCAAGCCAGUUCAUUUGUGUAUAAAUACAAGUGUGCUGGUCUCAUGACUUCUUCCUCAUCCAUUUAUGUGUUAUUUAUUCCUUUUCCUGUCUUGUGGUCUAUCAUUUGUUACAUUUCCAGCAUCUCUCAGGACUUUAAAAGUUAGAGAUUGCUCUGUACACCGUAGGUGUGUUAUAGUGACAACUACAUGCCGCAGUCUGUUAGUCAUUUGACAAAAAUGCAAGCGUCACAAAAGGUUUUUUGGGUGGGAUCAAUAGUUUAUUGGAGUUUUACAGGAAAUAAUGAGCAAAAACAAUAAUCAGUAAAGUCAUAAGAGACAAUGAUAGCAAUUAACAGUAAAAAUGACUCUCAUAAUUUGUUAAUGUUAUUCACACAGAAAUUGCUCUUUUGUGAUGUUAACCAAAUGGCUUAAAUAUAUGCUGUUAUUAUACUAAAACUAUAAACUCAUGUGAGAACUCUGUGGCCUUAUCAAUGAAAAGCAUUGUUCAAAAACUAUGAAAUUAAUUGCAAAGAAUUAUUUGUAUUCACGGGUUCAUUUGCCUUUGAAUAUGCAGAGUGUUUAUCACAGGUCUGGGUUCUGAAACUGCAGGAUAAAAGGAUUUCCUUUUCUUUAAGUAACAACCAGACUCCAUCCUGUCUGCUGGGUGAUAAGAAUAAAAGGACCACACCCUCAUCCUCAUUGCGCUUGGAAAGAAAAAAGAAAAGUGCAGUGGCUUGCAAGCAGGUGUACGGAAGGUUAAAGAUUAGUGAAGCAUAUGGCUGAAAAAUGAGAAGGCAAACAAAUCAGACGUCAUUCUGCUUAGGGAGCCAAGGAUAGUCAUUUUAAAAAGGCUGAAGAAUGG